UGUCGCAGAUGACUUUCGCCCUUCUCAUUCAGCCCCUUUCUCUAAAUCUAAUUAAUUUGAUUUCAAUGUGGUAGGACGAGAGUCAUCUGUGACAGG
This is a non-coding RNA of Solanum tuberosum (potato), 96 nucleotides long. NCBI's taxonomy places the organism in Eukaryota, Viridiplantae, Streptophyta, Magnoliopsida, Solanales, Solanaceae. The record is from Rfam.